This is a small nuclear RNA of Nycticebus coucang (slow loris), 112 nucleotides long. The record is from RefSeq and is a predicted model, not a curated record. NCBI's taxonomy places the organism in Eukaryota, Metazoa, Chordata, Mammalia, Primates, Lorisidae.
AUGCUCACUUUGGCAGCAUAUAUCCUAAAAUCAAAAUGACAAAGAGAAGAGAAGAUUUGCAUGGACCCUGCACAAGGAUAGCACACAAGUUUGUGAAACAGUUCAUAUUUUU